This 642-nucleotide ribosomal RNA is filed under the name Salmonella enterica. RNAcentral describes it as "partial 23S ribosomal RNA". It matches the Rfam family "Bacterial large subunit ribosomal RNA", at positions 1163 to 1773 of the family's 2925-position model. RNAcentral also lists the same sequence under 2 other names. Lineage: Bacteria; Pseudomonadati; Pseudomonadota; Gammaproteobacteria; Enterobacterales; Enterobacteriaceae. The record is from RNAcentral.
CAAGACAACUUUACGGAGUUGACGAUUGACGGAGCGAAGCGACGUCAAAGCGUUCAUUAAAGUCGAGUUGGCUUAGGGAUACGUUCGUUGGGUAGGGGAGCGUUCUGUAAGCCUGUGAAGGUGUGUCGUGAGGCAUGCUGGAGGUAUCAGAAGUGCGAAUGCUGACAUAAGUAACGAUAAAGCGGGUGAAAAGCCCGCUCGCCGGAAGACCAAGGGUUCCUGUCCAACGUUAAUCGGGGCAGGGUGAGUCGACCCCUAAGGCGAGGCCGAAAGGCGUAGUCGAUGGGAAACGGGUUAAUAUUCCCGUACUUGGUGUUACUGCGAAGGGGGGACGGAGAAGGCUAUGUUGGCCGGGCGACGGUUGUCCCGGUUUAAGCGUGUAGGUGUGUGUUCCAGGUAAAUCCGGUUCACUUUAACACUGAGGCGUGACGACGAGGCACUACGGUGCUGAAGCAACAAAUGCCCUGCUUCCAGGAAAAGCCUCUAAGCAUCAGGUAACACGAAAUCGUACCCCAAACCGACACAGGUGGUCAGGUAGAGAAUACCAAGGCGCUUGAGAGAACUCGGGUGAAGGAACUAGGCAAAAUGGUGCCGUAACUUCGGGAGAAGGCACGCUGACACGUAGGUGAAGUGAUUUACUCA